AACCAGCACCUCAAGUGGUCAGGAGGAUUAUUGGGCCUAAAGCAUCCGUAGCCUGUUCUAUAAGUUUGCGGUUAAAUCUAUACGCUCAACGUAUAGGCUGCCGUAAAUACUGUAGAACUAGGGAGUGGGAGAGGUAGACGGUACUCGAUAGGAAGGGGUAAAAUCCUUUGAUCUAUUGAUGACCACCUGUGGCGAAGGCGGUCUACCAGAACACGUUCGACGGUGAGGGAUGAAAGCUGGGGCGCAAACGGG
This 252-nucleotide ribosomal RNA is filed under the name uncultured archaeon. Its description in RNAcentral is "partial 16S ribosomal RNA". It matches the Rfam family "Archaeal small subunit ribosomal RNA", at positions 474 to 727 of the family's 1478-position model. The record is from RNAcentral.